Molecule: ribosomal RNA, 694 nt
Filed under: uncultured bacterium
Lineage: Bacteria
Description: bacterial SSU rRNA
Rfam family: Bacterial small subunit ribosomal RNA
Source: RNAcentral
AACGCUAGCUACAGGCUUAACACAUGCAAGUCGAGGGGCAGCAUGAACUUAGCUUGCUAAGUUUGAUGGCGACCGGCGCACGGGUGAGUAACGCGUAUCCAACCUUCCGUACACUCAGGAAUAGCCUUUCGAAAGAAAGAUUAAUACCUGAUGGUAUGAUGAGAUUGCAUGAAAUCAUCAUUAAAGAUUCAUCGGUGUACGAUGGGGAUGCGUUCCAUUAGAUAGUAGGCGGGGUAACGGCCCACCUAGUCGACGAUGGAUAGGGGUUCUGAGAGGAAGGUCCCCCACAUUGGAACUGAGACACGGUCCAAACUCCUACGGGAGGCAGCAGUGAGGAAUAUUGGUCAAUGGGCGCGAGCCUGAACCAGCCAAGUAGCGUGAAGGAUGAAGGUCCUACGGAUUGUAAACUUCUUUUAUAAGGGAAUAAAGUCACCUACGUGUAGGUGUUUGUAUGUACCUUAUGAAUAAGCAUCGGCUAACUCCGUGCCAGCAGCCGCGGUAAUACGGAGGAUGCGAGCGUUAUCCGGAUUUAUUGGGUUUAAAGGGAGCGUAGGCGGGUCGUUAAGUCAGCUGUGAAAGUUUGAGGCUCAACCUUAAAAUUGCAGUUGAUACUGGCGUCCUUGAGUACGGUUGAGGCAGGCGGAAUUCGUGGUGUAGCGGUGAAAUGCAUAGAUAUCACGAAGAACUCCGAUUG